This 422-nucleotide ribosomal RNA is filed under the name uncultured bacterium. RNAcentral's name for it is "bacterial SSU rRNA". It matches the Rfam family "Bacterial small subunit ribosomal RNA", at positions 355 to 774 of the family's 1533-position model. The record is from RNAcentral.
UGGGGAAUAUUGGGCAAUGCCCGCAAGGGUGACCCAGCAACGCCGCGUGGAGGAUGAAUGUCGUAAGAUUGUAAACUCCUGUUAGAGGGGAAGAAUAGUACCGGUUGGACCGGUAUAUGACUGUACCCUCAGAGAAAGCCCCGGCUAACUACGUGCCAGCAGCCGCGGUAAUACGUAGGGGGCAAGCGUUGUCCGGAUUUACUGGGUGUAAAGGGCGCGCAGGCGGGAUAAAAAGUCAGUGGUGAAAUCCUACAGCUUAACUGUAGAACUGCCUUUGAUACUUUUAUUCUUGAGUUCGGGAGAGAGAGACGGAAUUCCAGGUGUAGUGGUGAAAUACGUAGAUAUCUGGAAGAACACCCGUUGCGAAGGCGGUCUCUUGGUCCGACACUGACGCUGAGGCGCGAAAGCGUGGGGAGCAAACA